RNAcentral lists this ribosomal RNA (443 nucleotides) under uncultured bacterium. RNAcentral's name for it is "SSU rRNA". It matches the Rfam family "Bacterial small subunit ribosomal RNA", at positions 26 to 518 of the family's 1533-position model. The record is from RNAcentral.
AGAGCGAACGCUGGCGGCAGGCCUAAUACAUGCAAGUCGAACGGAUCCUUCGGGAUUAGUGGCGGACGGGUGAGUAACACGUGGGAACGUGCCCUUUGGUUCAGAACAACUCAGGGAAACUUGAGCUAAUACUGGAUAAGCCCUUCGGGGGAAAGAUUUAUCGCCAUUGGAGCGGCCCGCGUCUGAUUAGCUAGUUGGUAGGGUAAAGGCCUACCAAGGCUUCGAUCAGUAGCUGGUCUGAGAGGAUGAUCAGCCACACUGGGACUGAGACACGGCCCAGACUCCUACGGGAGGCAGCAGUAGGGAAUCUUGCGCAAUGGGCGAAAGCCUGACGCAGCCAUGCCGCGUGAAUGAUGAAGGUCUUAGGAUUGUAAAAUUCUUUCAGCGGGACGAUAAUGACGGUACCGCAGAAGAAGCCCGGCUAACUUCGCGCCAGCAGCCGC